RNAcentral lists this ribosomal RNA (291 nucleotides) under uncultured bacterium. RNAcentral describes it as "partial 16S ribosomal RNA". It matches the Rfam family "Bacterial small subunit ribosomal RNA", at positions 775 to 1067 of the family's 1533-position model. The record is from RNAcentral.
GGAUUAGAUACCCUGGUAGUCCACGCCGUAAACGAUGGUUACUAGCUGUCCGGCCCGAUUGAGGGCUGGGUGGCCAAGCGAAAGUGAUAAGUAACCCACCUGGGGAGUACGUUCGCAAGAAUGAAACUCAAAGGAAUUGACGGGGGCCCGCACAAGCGGUGGAGCAUGUGGUUUAAUUCGAUGAUACGCGAGGAACCUUACCAGGGCUUAAAUGCAGCAUGACAGGUUUGGAAACAGACUUUUCUUCGGACAUGUUGCAAGGUGCUGCAUGGUUGUCGUCAGCUCGUGCCG